AGAAACAAAGAUGAUAGAUAUUGAUCAUAGCACUCUAGGAGAACUAGUCGAUUUGGAAUUUAAUUAGAAAAUUAUUAGGAAAAAUAAUCGCAAGAAAAAGAAGUACCGAAUUAUUUAAAAAUUGUAAAUUAAUAGAACAGUAAUUGGAGCUUUUGAUAAUAAAUUCUACGGCGGAACAAUUUCCUUCGGUGGUGAACCGAGAUAUUCCUGCAUUUCGGUUUUGGUGUCAGCUCGUCUAUGUACGUAUGCGCAUAUGUACGUGUAUCUUGCAGAGCCUUCGCUGAACUUUGCCAUUUGCCAAGGACCGUGAGCUGGUCUGCACACAUUCUAAAACGAUUAAACGGCUAGUAGAAUAUGUCCGUGUAUAAACCGACCAAUGUGGAACUUGUCCAGUGGCUAUUCAAAGUUUUCGAUCCAAACGAACUUGUCGAGGUCAUUGCCGAUGGCGGUCGAGUGUGCUACUUUGCUACACCUACUGAUGGGCGUAUUGAAAGUAAUGAUAGAAGGAAAAAAGACCGAAGAAGAUUGGAGGUAGAGCAAAGGAAUGACCUUUGCUGAUAAGACGAGCUUACCUGGCACAUAAUCGAUUCUAGCUUGGGGCGAGAAAGUAGGAAAUAAGCGAAUGAAAAAAAGAAACGAACGAACAGGAAAAAUGGCUCUCACUUUGGUACAAAGUAAAUGUAAAAAAAAGUUGGUAAUAAAUCGGAGAACGAAUAGAA
Molecule: long non-coding RNA, 719 nt
Filed under: Polistes fuscatus (common paper wasp)
Lineage: Eukaryota; Metazoa; Arthropoda; Insecta; Hymenoptera; Vespidae
Description: uncharacterized LOC122521015
Source: RNAcentral